Molecule: ribosomal RNA, 254 nt
Filed under: uncultured bacterium
Lineage: Bacteria
Description: partial 16S ribosomal RNA
Rfam family: Bacterial small subunit ribosomal RNA
Source: RNAcentral
CACGUAGGGGGCAAGCGUUGUCCGGAUUUAUUGGGCGUAAAGAGCUCGUAGGCGGUUCGGUAAGUCGGGUGUGAAACCUCCAGGCUCAACCUGGAGACGCCACCCGAUACUGCUGUGACUAGAGUCCGGUAGGGGAGCGUGGAAUUCCUGGUGUAGCGGUGAAAUGCGCAGAUAUCAGGAGGAACACCAGCGGCGAAGGCGGCGCUCUGGGCCGAUACUGACGCUGAGGAGCGAAAGCGUGGGGAGCGAACAGG